Molecule: ribosomal RNA, 402 nt
Filed under: uncultured bacterium
Lineage: Bacteria
Description: bacterial SSU rRNA
Rfam family: Bacterial small subunit ribosomal RNA
Source: RNAcentral
GUGGGGAAUAUUGCGCAAUGGGCGGAAGCCUGACGCAGCGACGCCGCGUGGGGGAUGAAGGCCUUCGGGUUGUAAACCUCUUUCAGCACCGACGAAACCAGACGGUAGGUGCAGAAGAAGCGCCGGCUAACUACGUGCCAGCAGCCGCGGUAAUACGUAGGGCGCAAGCGUUGUCCGGAAUUAUUGGGCGUAAAGAGCUCGUAGGCGGCCUGUCGCGUCCGUCGUGAAAGCCCACGGCUCAACCGUGGGUUGGCGGUGGAUACGGGCAGGCUAGAGGCAGGUAGGGGAGAACGGAAUUCCCGGUGUAGCGGUGAAAUGCGCAGAUAUCGGGAGGAACACCGGUGGCGAAGGCGGUUCUCUGGGCCUGUUCUGACGCUGAGGAGCGAAAGCGUGGGGAGCGAA